RNAcentral lists this ribosomal RNA (253 nucleotides) under uncultured bacterium. Its description in RNAcentral is "partial 16S ribosomal RNA". It matches the Rfam family "Bacterial small subunit ribosomal RNA", at positions 524 to 776 of the family's 1533-position model. The record is from RNAcentral.
UACGAAGGGGGCUAGCGUUGUUCGGAAUUACUGGGCGUAAAGCGCACGUAGGCGGAUAUUUAAGUCAGGGGUGAAAUCCCAGAGCUCAACUCUGGAACUGCCUUUGAUACUGGGUAUCUUGAGUAUGGAAGAGGUAAGUGGAAUUCCGAGUGUAGAGGUGAAAUUCGUAGAUAUUCGCAAGAACACCAGUGGCGAAGGCGGCUCACUGGCCCGGUACUGACGCUGAGGUGCGAAAGCGUGGGGAGCAAACAGG